CACAAUUUUUUUUUCUAGUGGGGAUUGAUGACCUAUGGCAAUCCGAGGGUCUUGGGUCCUUUUUGCCCAGGAUAAU
This is an unclassified non-coding RNA of Phascolarctos cinereus (koala), 76 nucleotides long. NCBI's taxonomy places the organism in Eukaryota, Metazoa, Chordata, Mammalia, Diprotodontia, Phascolarctidae. The record is from Ensembl.